AGCUUGCUCUCUGAUUCAGCGGCGGACGGGUGAGUAAUGCCUAGGAAUCUGCCUGGUAGUGGGGGACAACGUCUCGAAAGGGACGCUAAUACCGCAUACGUCCUACGGGAGAAAGCAGGGGACCUUCGGGCCUUGCGCUAUCAGAUGAGCCUAGGUCGGAUUAGCUAGUUGGUGAGGUAAUGGCUCACCAAGGCGACGAUCCGUAACUGGUCUGAGAGGAUGAUCAGUCACACUGGAACUGAGACACGGUCCAGACUCCUACGGGAGGCAGCAGUGGGGAAUAUUGGACAAUGGGCGAAAGCCUGAUCCAGCCAUGCCGCGUGUGUGAAGAAGGUCUUCGGAUUGUAAAGCACUUUAAGUUGGGAGGAAGGGUUGUAGAUUAAUACUCUGCAAUUUUGACGUUACCGACAGAAUAAGCACCGGCUAACUCUGUGCCAGCAGCCGCGGUAAUACAGAGGGUGCAAGCGUUAAUCGGAAUUACUGGGCGUAAAGCGCGCGUAGGUGGUUUGUUAAGUUGGAUGUGAAAGCCCCGGGCUCAACCUGGGAACUGCAUUCAAAACUGACAAGCUAGAGUAUUGGUAGAGGGUGGUGGAAUUUCCUGUGUAGCGGUGAAAUGCGUAGAUAUAGGAAGGAACACCAGUGGCGAAGGCGACCACCUGGACUGAUAC
RNAcentral lists this ribosomal RNA (668 nucleotides) under Pseudomonas sp. 110623_PC_C1_B3. RNAcentral's name for it is "bacterial SSU rRNA". It matches the Rfam family "Bacterial small subunit ribosomal RNA", at positions 77 to 740 of the family's 1533-position model. The record is from RNAcentral. Lineage: Bacteria; Pseudomonadati; Pseudomonadota; Gammaproteobacteria; Pseudomonadales; Pseudomonadaceae.